AGGACGAACGCUGGCGGCGUGCUUAACACAUGCAAGUCGAGCGGAAAGGCCCUUCGGGGUACUCGAGCGGCGAACGGGUGAGUAACACGUGAGUAAUCUGCCCCUAGCUCUGGGAUAGCUCCGGGAAACCGGGAUUAAUACCAGAUACGACCACUUUAGACAUCUGUUGUGGUGGAAAGAAUUUUGGCUAGGGAUGAGCUCGCGGCCUAUCAGGCUUGUUGGUGAGGUAACGGCUCACCAAGGCGACGACGGGUA
RNAcentral lists this ribosomal RNA (255 nucleotides) under uncultured bacterium. RNAcentral's name for it is "partial small subunit ribosomal RNA". It matches the Rfam family "Bacterial small subunit ribosomal RNA", at positions 26 to 285 of the family's 1533-position model. The record is from RNAcentral.